This is a long non-coding RNA of Rhagoletis pomonella (apple maggot), 977 nucleotides long. RefSeq lists it as uncharacterized. The transcript is spliced from 2 exons. The record is from RefSeq and is a predicted model, not a curated record. NCBI's taxonomy places the organism in Eukaryota, Metazoa, Arthropoda, Insecta, Diptera, Tephritidae.
GUUUUAACACAACUUUUGUUAGGAAAAUAUAACUUCACAACACCUUGUGAAUUGCCCAAUUAUUUGUAUUUCUUAGACAAUGGCAUAUAAGUGGACCAGGGAAAGUAUUGAGAAAAUUUAUAUAUUUGUACCGGGAGCAUGAAUGUCUUUACUCCGUGAGCUCCAAGGACUAUUUAGACCGCCAGAAAAAAGCAAUGGCGCUCCAUGAUAUUCUAGCGAAGAUGCAAGAGAUUGAUGGGUGCAUAACGGUAGACGACCUUAAGAAAAAAUGGAAAAGUUUGCGAACGCAAUAUUUGCAAGAAUGUCGGUCGGUGAAGAAUUCCACAAAAAGUGGCGCUGGUGUUGAUGAUGUCCACUGUCCGAAGCUUUGGUGCUUUGAUCAACUAAAAUUUUUACACAAUCAUGUGUAAUUCCGUCAAAGUGUUACUAAUGUCGAAGAAGGUUCUGAUGACGCUUCCUGUCCCUUAAGCACAGAAAAGGUUCCAAAAAAGCCGAAAAUAACCACAGUGCAGUUUGCGGCUGAAAUUAAAAACAUGAAGAACAUGAUAGCUGACAGAAAAGCAAAUAAAAAUAAAUUUGAGUGGUUGGGUCGGCAAGUGACUGAGCAGAUGGAAGAGGUGGAUGAGGAGUAUAAGCCGCAAGCAGUUAUGGAGGUUCAAGGUGUUAUUAAUAAAUACUGGCAGAAAACCAUAAUAAAAAGAACUGCGUCAUCAUAUUCCACUGCAUCAUCACCGUCUCCGAUUCCUUCACGGGAUAUUUUAGAGGAAUCAAUGCGGGGUAUUUUCUGUAGAGAGAGAAUAAAGAACACGACGGUUUGAGGUUUAUGAGUGGACUGACUGUUUAAUGUAUCAAGAAUAUGCUUAUAAGUAUUACAAUUAUGCGAAGCUGGUAAAUAAAGUAUAAUAAGCUUAUGAGUGCAUUUUAUAUGCACAUAUACAAAUACAAAUACAUAUUUAAAUACAUAAGUAUUUUCAACA